This is a long non-coding RNA of Gambusia affinis (western mosquitofish), 927 nucleotides long. RefSeq lists it as uncharacterized. The transcript is spliced from 3 exons. NCBI's taxonomy places the organism in Eukaryota, Metazoa, Chordata, Actinopteri, Cyprinodontiformes, Poeciliidae. The record is from RefSeq and is a predicted model, not a curated record.
GAAACGCAUUAGAUUACUCAUUACUGAAAGAAUGACGUCAGUAACCCUAACCCUAACCCCAAAAACUUAAUAAAGGAUCGUUGGAGAAAUUUCCUCCUGAUCAGAUCCUGAACACGUUUGACCUGCUCAGAGCGAUCAGCAUGCCCAGGCCGCCACACCUCAGACUGAUGGAAACACUCUUCCUGCUCCCAACAGGUCUCAGCGCUCCCAGAGGAAACCGACGAACUGAGCAUCAAAACCCCGCCAUGAAGCCUUGGGUUCCUCGGUUAGCGAGCGGCUAGCGCUGUCAGCCUCUGAACAACAACAGUCUGCUUCUCUCUCUCCGACUCUCCGUCUGCUUCUGGCAGAAACACGUUGAUGCGGCGCUGCACCAAAUGCACCGUGGGCCGUCCCAGCCUUGAUGGCUACUUCCCCCCUCACACACACCCUGAACCCUGCCUGCCCGCGUGCCACUGGAUGUCAGCCGGGUCGGGUUUGUGGGAUGGAGGCUGUUCAGAGGACGUCUUCUGAGGAGAUAAGCGCAGCCUGCUGCGGAAUACAAAUGGGCUUCUUAGCAUAGCAGAGGUGAAGGGAAGCGCGAUAACGCAGAGGAGACGUGUCACUGCUGGAGGAAUGUGGGCCUGUGAUAAAUGUGCAUUCUGUUGAAAAGUGAAGGGGCUUCUUUCAUGAAACUGGCUGACAAAAGAUAUAAAUGAAGGUGUGUGGUUUUUUUUUUUUUUUUUUGGUGCCCUUUCUACAAAGAUAACCUGAACCUUCACUUCUUCCCUCUUUGUAGCUCUUUUCCUUCCUGAUGUCUUUGGUUUCCUGUCAUAUCGCUCUGAUUGCAUCAACUGCAGCACCGGCCGGAACACCAGCCUGCUGCAGUCCGUCAACAGAUUGAUGCAUUUAUUCAUCUGGAGCAGAUAAAACUGAAAAACUCAAAAUUUA